AAGACGGAGCGGCGAACGGGUGAGUAACACGUGGGCAACCUGCCCCUAGCUCUGGGACAACUCCUCGAAAGAGGGGCUAAUACCGGAUAUGACCUUGGACGACAUCUUCUGAGGUGGAAAGUUUUUCGGCUAGGGAUGGGCCCGCGGCCUAUCAGCUUGUUGGUGGGGUAACGGCCCACCAAGGCGACGACGGGUAGCCGGCCUGAGAGGGCGACCGGCCACACUGGGACUGAGACACGGCCCAG
RNAcentral lists this ribosomal RNA (245 nucleotides) under uncultured bacterium. RNAcentral describes it as "partial 16S ribosomal RNA". It matches the Rfam family "Bacterial small subunit ribosomal RNA", at positions 87 to 334 of the family's 1533-position model. The record is from RNAcentral.